RNAcentral lists this long non-coding RNA (485 nucleotides) under Arabidopsis thaliana (thale cress). RNAcentral's name for it is "long non-coding RNA (ATHA_LNC000682)". The record is from RNAcentral. Lineage: Eukaryota; Viridiplantae; Streptophyta; Magnoliopsida; Brassicales; Brassicaceae.
CGUGUAUGAAUAAUUCUAUCCUUCACACUUACUUACAUUACACUUUUUCGUAUAUUAUUAUAUAGUGAAAAGUUGUCAGAAUUAACAUGGUCCUACUAGUGAUAAUUAUUGUUUUUUUUUCAUAUUCGGUGCAGUUUCAAAUUAUUAGUAUUAUUUUUCUUAACCUUGGGGUGGCCAAAAAUCUUGAUCUUAUCAAAAGUAGUGGGGUCUUGUAAGAUUAUCUUAGACAGAGACUCUUGAGUCAAAAAGUUGUAGACUUUUUCAGCUUUUAGAUUUUCUAAAUGUUCAAAUAAGCUAGACUACGUGGAUAGGUAACAUAAGUGACUCACUCAUUAGUCUUUAUUGUGGGGUAUUCAAAAUUUAACUAAACUCUAAGAGUCAUGUGUUGUAAACCGGUGUGGUUUACUAAAAAUUGAUUUUUCUUUGAUCAGAUUCUUUGUUGACAACAUACCAAUCCGAACGUUCAAGAAUGCUAAGGAUCUAGG